GAUGAACGCUGGCGGCGUGCCUAAUACAUGCAAGUCGAGCGAAUGGAUUAAGAGCUUGCUCUUAUGAAGUUAGCGGCGGACGGGUGAGUAACGCGUGGGUAACCUGCCCAUAAGACUGGGAUAACUCCGGGAAACCGGGGCCAAUACCGGAUAACAUUUUGAACCGCAUGGUUCGAAAUUGAAAGGCGGCUUCGGCUGUCACUUAUGGAUGGACCCGCGUCGCAUUAGCUAGUUGGUGAGGUAACGGCCCACCAAGGAAACGAUGCGUAGCCGACCUGAGAGGGUGAUCGGCCACACUGGGACUGAAACACGGCCCAGACUCCUACGGGAGGCAGCAGUAGGGAAUCUUCCGCAAUGGAAGAAAGUCUGACGGAGCAACGCCGCGUGAGUGAUGAAGGCUUUCGGGUCGUAAGACUCUGUUGUUAGGGAAGAACAAGUGCUAGUUGAAUAAGCUGGCACCUUGACGGUACCUAACCAGAAAGCCACGGCUAACUACGUGCCAGCCGCCGCCGUAA
Molecule: ribosomal RNA, 515 nt
Filed under: uncultured bacterium
Lineage: Bacteria
Description: partial 16S ribosomal RNA
Rfam family: Bacterial small subunit ribosomal RNA
Source: RNAcentral